This 1290-nucleotide ribosomal RNA is filed under the name uncultured bacterium. RNAcentral describes it as "bacterial SSU rRNA". It matches the Rfam family "Bacterial small subunit ribosomal RNA", at positions 202 to 1482 of the family's 1533-position model. The record is from RNAcentral.
UAAGCAGCUCUCACCGAAGGAGGAGCCUGCGUCCGAUUAGCUAGUUGGUGGGGUAAUGGCCUACCAAGGCGACGAUCGGUAGCCGGCCUGAGAGGGCGAUCGGCCACACUGGAACUGAGACACGGUCCAGACUCCUACGGGAGGCAGCAGUGGGGAAUAUUGCGCAAUGGGCGAAAGCCUGACGCAGCGACGCCGCGUGGGUGAUGAAGGCCUUCGGGUCGUAAAGCCCUGUCUGGUGGAACGAAACGCCUGGCGGCCAAUACCCGCCGGGUUUGACGGUACCACCGAAGGAAGCCCCGGCUAACUACGUGCCAGCAGCGCGGUAAGACGUAGGGGGCGAGCGUUGUUCGGAUUUACUGGGGGUAAAGCGCGCGUAGGCGGCCAGAUAAGUCGGGUGUGAAAGCCCUCGGCUCAACCGAGGUUCCGCAUCCGAUACUGCUUGGCUGGAGUCUAGGAGAGGAGAGCGGAAUUCCCAGUGUAGCGGUGAAAUGCGUAGAUAUUGGGAGGAACACCCGUGGCGAAGGCGGCUCUCUGGACUAGUACUGACGCUGAGGCGCGAAAGCUAGGGGAGCGAACGGGAUUAGAUACCCCGGUAGUCCUAGCCGUAAACGAUGGGCACUAGGUGUGGGAGGUAUUGACUCCUUCCGCGCCGAAGCUAACGCAUUAAGUGCCCCGCCUGGGGAGUACGGCCGCAAGGCCAAAACUCAAAGGAAUUGACGGGGGCCCGCACAAGCGGUGGAGCAUGUGGUUCAAUUCGACGCAACGCGAAGAACCUUACCAGGGCUUGACAUCCCACGAACCUGCCUGAAAGGGCGGGGUGCCCGCAAGGGAGCGUGGAGACAGGUGGUGCAUGGCUGUCGUCAGCUCGUGUCGUGAGAUGUUGGGUUAAGUCCCGCAACGAGCGCAACCCUCACCCCUAGUUGCCACCGGGUAAUGCCGAGCACUCGAGGGGAACUGCCAGCGUCAAGCUGGAGGAAGGCGGGGAUGACGUCAAGUCAUCAUGCCCCUUACGUCCUGGGCUACACACGUGCUGCAAUGGCCGGUACAAAGGGAUGCGAGACCGCGAGGUGGAGCCAAUCCCAAAAAGCUGGUCUAAGUUCGGAUUGCAGUCUGCAACUCGACUGCAUGAAGUAGGAAUCGCUAGUAAUCGCGCAUCAGCACGGCGCGGUGAAUACGUUCCCGGGCCUUGUACACACCGCCCGUCACACCACGAAAGCUGGCUGUACUCGAAGUCGCUGAGCCAACCCGCAAGGGAGGCAGGCGCCGAAGGUAUGGUUAGUGAUUGGGGUG